GAGUUUGAUCCUGGCUCAGGAUGAACGCUGGCGGCGUGCUUAACACAUGCAAGUCGAACGAAGCACUGGAAACGGAAUUCUUCGGAAGGAAGUAUUUAGUGACUGAGUGGCGGACGGGUGAGUAACGCGUGGGUAACCUGCCUCAUACAGGGGGAUAACAGUUAGAAAUAGCUGCUAAUACCGCAUAAGACCACAGAGUCGCAUGACUCAGUGGGAAAAACUCCGGUGGUAUGAGAUGGACCCGCGUCUGAUUAGCUAGUUGGUAAGGUAACGGCUUACCAAGGCGACGAUCAGUAGCCGACCUGAGAGGGUGACCGGCCACAUUGGGACUGAGACACGGCCCAAACUCCUACGGGAGGCAGCAGUGGGGAAUAUUGCACAAUGGGGGAAACCCUGAUGCAGCGACGCCGCGUGAGUGAUGAAGUAUUUCGGUAUGUAAAGCUCUAUCAGCAGGGAAGAAAAUGACGUACNGC
RNAcentral lists this ribosomal RNA (473 nucleotides) under Blautia sp. canine oral taxon 337. RNAcentral describes it as "bacterial SSU rRNA". It matches the Rfam family "Bacterial small subunit ribosomal RNA", at positions 9 to 462 of the family's 1533-position model. Lineage: Bacteria; Bacillati; Bacillota; Clostridia; Lachnospirales; Lachnospiraceae. The record is from RNAcentral.